ACCGUUCCUCGAAAUAAUCUUUAUAUUCAACUCAUGGGUCCUUCCCUUCAUGGGUAUAGACCUUGAUAUUACAUUCUCCAUCUAAUUUUCAUAUUCAUAUUAAUAAGGGGUGUUGUUGUGUUUGUGAAUGAAUGUGUAUGUGUGUGUGUGUGUGUGUGUGUUGAGAAUCAUGUCAGCUCUUUCUUUAGUGACCUUCUCAGAAGUCAUUGACUAUCAUGAGGUCAGGGAGGGAAACUUCAUGAAAUGCUUUCUGGGAGAUCCUACUAAAAGCUGUGUUUAAUGGUGGUGAAUGGACUGGUUGUAGGACAAAGUUUCAAUCAAUAUGAUACCAGUUCAAAAGACAUUUCUGUGCCUGGACAGCCUAUGAGCUUUUCUAAACAAAGUGAGGCUUGGCCUUUGUGACCUCACAUAAGGGUCACUGUCCAGGUUAUGGGUGUGUCCUAGUUCUGAGGGCAGCAGAGUCUAUUAUAGAAGAAGGUGCCAGGGGUCCCUUUCAGGAAUAUUGGCCAUAGAUGAUGGCUAACAACAAAGUAGUUUUGGAAAAAUAUGGACUCAAAUGUAUGCUGUACUUCGAUCCCAAAAAGAAUCAGAUACCUUGACCCUGAAAAUCUGUGGACCUACAUAGGUGGGCCCGAAAAGUAAUAGGCCCAGAAAAAAAACAAAAAACAAAAACAAAAAAAGUAUGUGUCCUGGCCAAACACAGACCUUGAAGGAGUCCAUGUCCAAAACAAGUAGAGAUGCAGGUUUGGGCAGGUCCCUGACUAUGAAGAGGCCCGAGCCCAAAGGAAAUAGUGAUGUGGGCCUGGGACUUUCCCUAACCCUUGAAGAGGCCCAGACCCAGAGAAGAAGAAAUAUGGGCCUGGGCCAAUCCCUGACCCUAAAGAGGCCUGGGUCCAAAAAAACAUGAUGUGGGCCUGGGCCCAUCCUUACCCCUUGAAGAGGCCUGGGCCCAAAAGGAAGAAAUAUGGGUCUGGGCUAAUCCCUGACCCUGAAGAGGCCUGGGCCCAAAGGAAGAAGUGAUUUGGGCCUGGGCCUGUCCAUAGUUGUUGAAGAGGCCUGGGCCUAAAGGAAGAAGUGAUGUGGGCCUGGGCCUAUCCUUACUGAUUGAAGAGGCCUGGGCUCAAAAAUAAGAAAUAUGGGCCUGGGCCAAUCCCUGACCCUCACGAGGCCUGGGUCCAAAAAAAAAGUGUCAUGGACCUGGGCCUAUCCUUACCGGUUGAAGAGGCCUGGACCCAAAAAGAAGACAUAUGGGCCUGGGCCAAUCCCUGACCUAGAAGAGGCCUGGGCCCAAAGGAAUAAAUGAUGUGGGCCUGGGCCUAUCCCUAACCCUUGAAGAGGCCUGGGCCCAAAGAAAAAGAAAUAUGGGCCUGGACCAAUCUCUGACCCUAAAGAGGCCUAGGCCCAAAUGAAGAAGUGAUUUGGGCCUGGGCCUAUCCCUAGUCCUAGAGGAGACCUGGGCCGAAAGGAAGAAGUGAUGUGGGCCUGGGCCUAUCCCUAACCCUUUAAGAGGCCUGGGCCCAAAGAAGAAAUAUGGGCCUGGGCAAAUCCCUGACCCAGAAGAGGCCAGUACCCAAAAAGGUGAUAUGGGACUGGACCUAUCCCUAACCCUUGAAGAGACCUAGGCCCAAAGAAGAAGAAAUAUGGGCUUGGCCCAAUUCCUGACCUGAAGAGGCCUGGUCCCAAAGGAAGAAUUGAUGUGGGCCUGGGCUUAUCCCUAACCCUUGAAGAGGCCUGGGACCAAAUUUGAUCAGGGUCUUGGCCUUUCCCCAACCCUUGAAGAAGCGUGGGCCCAAAGGAAGACGUCUUGUGGGCGUGGGCCAAUCCCUGACCCUGAACACGCCUGGGCCAAAAUUAAGAGAUGGAGUCUUGGACUAUCCUUAGUCCUUAAGAGACUCAGGCCCAGAGUAUAAGAGAUGUGGACCUAGGCCUAUUUCUGAACUUCAAGAAGCCUGAGUCCUAAUCAAGAAUUGGCUAUAGAUGUAGGCUAGUUCUUCAAAUACCAAGGCUUGAGGCAAAAGAUUAUUGCCAAUCUCAACCAUUUCAAUACAGUUUGAGCCCAAAUGUAAUAUCUAAAUUGUCUUGUAUUUACUGUUACUCAAAGAAACCUUGUCCCAAACAAAUAAAUGUGGCCAGGUCAAGCCUAAAAUGAAACAACACUGUGGUCAGUAUACCAUGAAGUGGUCUGAUUCAAGGUCUUAAUUUCAACUGAUACCAUGACUAUUUAUGCCUAGGCCAUACCCACUACUCUAGGAUUAUUGGGCACAACCACCAGAGGUUCUGGUACAAUAAUGGCAAAGACCAUAGAGUGACAUCAGAGGGAUCCUGGCAGCUCCCUGACUACAGAAUACCCAAGGUCCAACUUAAAUUCAAUUGUGUGUGAGCUACUCUCUCCCUUUUUAAGAUCGUUGACAACUUUCACUACAAGGAAGCCAGGACCACACCAAGGUCUUGUAGUCUUACAUCAUUCUUUAACAGACAUUUCAUACUCCAGCACUGUGUAUAUAGUUUUCAAUAAAUACAAUGUUCAUCUGCUA
Long non-coding RNA from Rattus norvegicus (Norway rat), 2534 nucleotides. RefSeq lists it as uncharacterized. The record is from RefSeq and is a predicted model, not a curated record. Lineage: Eukaryota; Metazoa; Chordata; Mammalia; Rodentia; Muridae.